UCGUAAGUGUUUAAGGGCACAU
RNAcentral lists this ribosomal RNA (22 nucleotides) under Mycobacterium simiae. RNAcentral describes it as "partial 23S rRNA". Lineage: Bacteria; Bacillati; Actinomycetota; Actinomycetes; Mycobacteriales; Mycobacteriaceae. The record is from RNAcentral.